RNAcentral lists this ribosomal RNA (433 nucleotides) under uncultured bacterium. Its description in RNAcentral is "partial 16S ribosomal RNA". It matches the Rfam family "Bacterial small subunit ribosomal RNA", at positions 29 to 507 of the family's 1533-position model. The record is from RNAcentral.
AACGAACGCUGGCGGCAUGCCUAACACAUGCAAGUCGAACGAGACCUUCGGGUCUAGUGGCGCACGGGUGCGUAACGCGUGGGAACCUGCCCUUAGGUUCGGAAUAACUCCCCGAAAGGGGUGCUAAUACCGGAUAAUGUCUUCGGACCAAAGAUUUAUCGCCUUUGGAUGGGCCCGCGUUGGAUUAGCUAGUUGGUAGGGUAAAAGCCUACCAAGGCGACGAUCCAUAGCUGGUCUGAGAGGAUGAUCAGCCACACUGGGACUGAGACACGGCCCAGACUCGUAGGGGAGGAAGAAGGGGGGAAUAUUGGAGAGUGGGAAAAGGCUUAACCACGAAUUGCCGGGUGAUGAUGAAAGCCUUUGGGGUUUAAAAGCUUUUUACCCCGGAAGGAAAAAGAAAGACCGGGAAAAAUAAGCCCGGACAACCUCGGUG